UCGUUCUUUCACGAUGGCCGAACAACAAGUUGAAACAGCGCCUGCAGCAGAUCUAGGUGCUGAUCCCCAAAACGGAAGAUAUACCUGAGCCGGGGCACCACAUUCCAGUAAAUAUGCGGCUAAGAGGAGCUUGAAACAGAGGCAUAUUGCUUGAAAUAUUUCAAUACAGCAGCAGGACAGUGUGUUCUGGUCUCUCUGCACUGACCACAGUGUGACAGCUGCUGCUCUCUGCUGAGAGCCUUCUCUCUUCAGGUUACAGAGCAGGUAGAGGUGCGCUGCAUUCACAAGUCUUGCAGUGGAGAGCAUCAGCAUCCUGCUCCACAGAUUCCGUUGGUCCUGUCCUGGAUGACUCCAGCCUUCACCAGCUUCAGCAGGAACUUCUUCUCUUUCGAUAUGUUGUGAGUCCAGGACUACAGAGAAGACAGAGACACAGGACAGGAGCUAGUUGGUGGACAACACUCAACAGGCUACCUUCUAAAUGUCUCACUCUUUAAACCAACAUUUUAUUAAAAAUAAAUACAAUUUCCCCUUUCAAUAAACCAAGCACAAAAAGGUUGUGUAUCAAUGAGCAUUGAUACACAUAUUUUUGAGUUUUGUUCACAUCCGUAAAAAGGCCAAUAACCAUGGUGGCCGUCAGGUGCAAAUUCGCUACAAUGGCCCAAAACAUUCCCAUUGGAAGAAAUGCGCUGCAGCUUCAAAAAUAAUGCAAAUAUAAAAUCACAAAUGUGCCAAAACACAUGGAAAUGAAGAAUCAUCUUCACCAACUUGGAAACAAAUUCACUAACCUGACUAAAUAUGUGCAGCGUUUACUAAAAGCGCUCCUUUAGCAAAAUGCUGCAAAUACAAAACACUGCAAACUAAAAAAAAUGCCCAUAUUGCUGGAACCGGUUUUGGGAUUAUAAAGUUUGCCAACUGUAACUCUUGAUGGAAACAGUUUAUGAUUCAUUCCAAUAUUAUUGCAGAUCUGCUAGUAGCUAGCUUUCUAAACCAGUUAACCUAGUUCGGAAGGAAUGAUGUGAUCACAUUGUUAUAAUAAGCCAAUCAAACUUACAUUGUAGGAAACUUCCCACCAACAGUGACUGUUGGCCAUCUUUAUAAUCCCUGAACGUCAAGAAGCACUCUUGUUUCUGCUAAUGAAAAUGUUUUGGCCCGUUUGCAAUUGUCGGCCACCGUAGAUAACCCUUAUUUAGAAAGGGAAAAUAAGUAAAGCUAUGUCAUGCCGCUUACGCUGCUGCUUACUUUUGCUCAGCUUGUUUCUCUGAUAACUUAAGACCCAUGAAUAAAAUCCUUCAUCCAUUUCAAA
Molecule: long non-coding RNA, 1303 nt
Organism: Gymnodraco acuticeps
Lineage: Eukaryota; Metazoa; Chordata; Actinopteri; Perciformes; Bathydraconidae
Exons: 2
Source: RefSeq, a predicted model, not a curated record